CCUACGGGAGGCAGCAGUGAGGAAUAUUGGUCAAUGGGCGCUAGCCUGAACCAGCCAAGUAGCGUGAAGGAUGACUGCCCUAUGGGUUGUAAACUUCUUUUAUAUGGGAAUAAAGUGCAGUAUGUAUACUGCUUUGCAUGUACCUUAUGAAUAAGUAUCGGCUAACUCCGUGCCAGCAGCCGCGGUAAUACGGAGGAUCCGAGCGUUAUCCGGAUUUAUUGGGUUUAAAGGGAGCGUAGGCGGGUUGUUAAGUCAGUUGUGAAAGUUUGCGGCUCAACCGUAAAAUUGCAGUUGAUACUGGCAGCCUUGAGUACAGUAGAGGUAGGCGGAAUUCGUGGUGUAGCGGUGAAAUGCUUAGAUAUCACGAAGAACUCCGAUUGCGAAGGCAGCCUGCUGGACUGUAACUGACGCUGAUGCUCGAAAGUGUGGGUAUCAAACAGGAUUAGAUACCCCAGUAGUC
Molecule: ribosomal RNA, 460 nt
Filed under: uncultured bacterium
Lineage: Bacteria
Description: partial 16S ribosomal RNA
Rfam family: Bacterial small subunit ribosomal RNA
Source: RNAcentral